This 301-nucleotide ribosomal RNA is filed under the name uncultured bacterium. RNAcentral's name for it is "partial 16S ribosomal RNA". It matches the Rfam family "Bacterial small subunit ribosomal RNA", at positions 509 to 809 of the family's 1533-position model. The record is from RNAcentral.
CAGUCGCCGCGGUAAAACGCAGGUGGCAAGCGUUGUCCGGAAUUAUUGGGCGUAAAGGGCUCGCAGGCGGUUUCUUAAGUCUGAUGUGAAAGCCCCCGGCUCAACCGGGGAGGGUCAUUGGAAACUGGGAAACUUGAGUGCAGAAGAGGAGAGUGGAAUUCCACGUGUAGCGGUGAAAUGCGUAGAGAUGUGGAGGAACACCAGUGGCGAAGGCGACUCUCUGGUCUGUAACUGACGCUGAGGAGCGAAAGCGUGGGGAGCAAACAGGAUUAGAUACCCCCGUAGUCCCUGUCUCUUAUAA